AAGAAGCGAAGCAGUGAUGUGAAGCGAAACUCAAAAAGUAGUCUCAGUUCGGAUUGAAGGCUGAAAUUCGCCUUCAUGAAGCCGGAAUUGCUAGUAAUGGCAGGUCAGCAUACUGCCGUGAAUACGUUCCCGGGCCUUGUACACACCGCCCGUCACACCAUGGAAGUUGGGGGCACCCGAAGCCAGUGGCCUAACCGCAAGGAGGGAGCUGUCGAAGGUGAAAUCAAUGACUGGGGUGAAGUCGUAACAAGGUACC
Molecule: ribosomal RNA, 256 nt
Filed under: uncultured bacterium
Lineage: Bacteria
Description: partial 16S ribosomal RNA
Rfam family: Bacterial small subunit ribosomal RNA
Source: RNAcentral